Molecule: ribosomal RNA, 506 nt
Filed under: uncultured bacterium
Lineage: Bacteria
Description: partial 16S ribosomal RNA
Rfam family: Bacterial small subunit ribosomal RNA
Source: RNAcentral
AGUGCACGCUGGCGGUAGGCCUAACACAUGCAAGUCGAACGGCAGCACAGGAGAGCUUGCUCUCUGGGUGGCGAGUGGCGGACGGGUGAGGAAUACAUCGGAAUCUACUCUGUCGUGGGGGAUAACGUAGGGAAACUUACGCUAAUACCGCAUACGACCUACGGGUGAAAGCAGGGGACCUUCGGGCCUUGCGCGAUUGAAUGAGCCGAUGUCGGAUUAGCUAGUUGGCGGGGUAAAGGCCCACCAAGGCAACGAUCCGUAGCUGGUCUGAGAGGAUGAUCAGCCACACUGGAACUGAGGCACGGUCCAGACUCCUACGGGAGGCAGCAGUGGGGAAUAUUGGACAAUGGGCGCAAGCCUGAUCCAGCCAUACCGCGUGGGUGAAGAAGGCCUUCGGGUUGUAAAGCCCUUUUGUUGGGAAAGAAAUCCAGCUGGCUAAUACCCGGUUGGGGUGACGGUACCCAAAGAAUAAGCACCGGCUAACUUCGUGCCAGCAGCCGCCGUAA